CCUACGGGUGACAGCAGUGAGGAAUAUUGGUCAAUGGACGAGAGUCUGAACCAGCCAAGUAGCGUGAAGGAUGACUGCCCUAUGGGUUGUAAACUUCUUUUAUAUGGGAAUAAAACGUUCCACGUGUGGGAUUUUGUAUGUACCCUACGAAUAAGGAUCGGCUAACUCCGUGCCAGCAGCCGCGGUAAUACGGAGGAUCCGAGCGUUAUCCGGAUUUAUUGGGUUUAAAGGGAGCGUAGGUGGAUUGUUAAGUCAGUUGUGAAAGUUUGCGGCUCAACCGUAAAAUUGCAGUUGAAACUGGCAGUCUGAGGUACAGUGGAGGUGGGCGAAAGUGGGGGUGUAGCGGUGAAAUGCUUGGAUAUCACGAAGAACUCCGAUGGCAAGGGCAGUUCACUGGACUGCAACUGACACUGGGGCUCGAAAGUGUGGGUAUCAAACAGGAUUAGAUACCCUGGUAGU
This 459-nucleotide ribosomal RNA is filed under the name uncultured bacterium. RNAcentral describes it as "partial 16S ribosomal RNA". It matches the Rfam family "Bacterial small subunit ribosomal RNA", at positions 338 to 794 of the family's 1533-position model. The record is from RNAcentral.